Molecule: long non-coding RNA, 1560 nt
Organism: Malaya genurostris
Lineage: Eukaryota; Metazoa; Arthropoda; Insecta; Diptera; Culicidae
Exons: 3
Source: RefSeq, a predicted model, not a curated record
ACUAAAGUGAAUCGAUUCAAUGCAUCAGCUCAUCAGCUCAUUUAGAUUGAACUGAAGGUUCGUUUUGAGCGCACCAUUUUUCUUGUGCCGUUUCUCUUACUCCGUUUUUCUUUCAUAAGCAUGAUCGAAAUCAUUAAUGCACAAAGAACAAUGUUAUGCGAACAAAUUUGUGUGCGAAUCAUUAUUAUGUCACAUUUGUUGGCAUCCCUAAAUGUACCUUAGCCUACUGAGUGAGAGAAUUCGCUAUUCAAGAGCCGAAGAUCCGUUCAGCUCAUAACUUGUUUCCACCUUACCAGUGCGGUGAACUGGUGAGCUGCGGUUCUUUCAAAAAGAGCUGUGAGCUGUCAGCUCACUUUAAAGAUUCGAUUCACUGGAACAGCUCAGGAGCGAAUUGCCCAUCUCUAGUUUCCAAGGAGUCCCAAUACAAAUAAACAAAUAGUUUGCCACCGGAACAUAACGGGGGUUUGCUGCAGAGCAAAGUCGGUGUCCAAUCUCUGCAAAUUCACGGAAAAUCUUGUCAAUAAAGACUUCAUCCAGAAAAAAUGUCGAAUAUGACCUCUAGCCUUAGAUGGCUGACAUGAACGACAUCACUAGCUUGGAACAUUUCCGCCGAAAAAGGAAACAUUACCGCCUGAUAGAUUUGGUGUGUUAAUCAAACAUUUCUAUGUCGUUGGCUGAUUCGAUAGAGCAAAGUAGAAGGUCGGUUUCAGGUUUCCCAUUGCUAAAAAAAAAUUACCAAACGGAUUCAAAUAGUUGACACAGUCGGAAAAUUCCGAUGCGAUAAGAUAUUGUAAGCUAAUGGCGUUUUCGUUUUUAAUUUGCACUACACCGGUGCAGUGCAACACUGAGGCAUUAAUAAACGAACAAAAAUUACGAAAACAUAAACAGUAACCAAUGACUACAAUAAACGAUUCCAUUGCACAGAGCUACACCAAACUUUUGAUGAGUGCUACACCAGUGGUAUCGAUGCAGAAAAAGUGUAGCACUGGUGUAGUGCAAUUGGUAAAAACGAACGGUUUCAGUGCAGCUUUCGUUACACCAGUGUAAUGCAAUUUAAAAACGAAAACGACAUAAAUGGCGUAAUGGAAAACCGACCGACUUUCUCAAGGGUUUAAUACACUUAUCUUGAAAAUCAGAUACAUAAUCCACAUCUCAUUACUAACAUGUGAUUAGGGCAUAUCAUGUGAUAUGCCCUUUCGAAAGUUACGAAAAAUAAUGCUCAUUACUUAAGUUUUAAACAUGAAAUUCAAGCAUGUUGCGCACAAUUAGAUUGGACUUCUAUCGACGUCCGAGGUUGUAGAGCCGAGCAAUGAGCAUUAUAUUUUGUAACAUUCGCAAGGGCCUAUCGUGCGAUAUGCCCUAAUCACAUUUUACUACCGAUAUGCUAAGGACGUUUUGUCUAUCACUGUCCUCUGGAUUAUCACACUCAUUUUCGAUAAACCUGACAAACCAACGUUCGCGUCAUAUCUUUUGACUAAUGCACUGAAAAGUUAAUGAUAACCUAAUAAUUUUAACUCGGAUUUUAAUUACUACAAGAAAUAAAAUGUUGAACUGAUUUCA